CUCUUCGGUUAAUACCCGGAGACGAUGACAUUAGCUGCAGAAUAAGCACCGGCUAACUCUGUGCCAGCAGCCGCGGUAAUACAGAGGGUGCAAGCGUUAAUCGGAAUUACUGGGCGUAAAGCGAGCGUAGGUGGCUUGAUAAGUCAGAUGUGAAAUCCCCGGGCUUAACCUGGGAACUGCAUCUGAAACUGUUAAGCUAGAGUAGGUGAGAGGGAAGUAGAAUUCCAGGUGUAGCGGUGAAAUGCGUAGAGAUCUGGAGGAAUACCGAUGGCGAAGGCAGCUUCCUGGCAUCAUACUGACACUGAGGCUCGAAAGCGUGGGUAGCAAACAGGAUUAGAUACCCUGGUAGUCCACGCCGUAAACGAUGUC
RNAcentral lists this ribosomal RNA (369 nucleotides) under uncultured Psychrobacter sp. Its description in RNAcentral is "bacterial SSU rRNA". It matches the Rfam family "Bacterial small subunit ribosomal RNA", at positions 449 to 813 of the family's 1533-position model. Lineage: Bacteria; Pseudomonadati; Pseudomonadota; Gammaproteobacteria; Moraxellales; Moraxellaceae. The record is from RNAcentral.